Small nuclear RNA from Manis pentadactyla (Chinese pangolin), 107 nucleotides. NCBI's taxonomy places the organism in Eukaryota, Metazoa, Chordata, Mammalia, Pholidota, Manidae. The record is from RefSeq and is a predicted model, not a curated record.
AUGCUCACUUUGGCAGCACAUAGACUAAAAUUGGAAUGAUACAGAGAAGGUUACAAUGGCCCCUGCGCAGGAAUGACACACAAAUUUGUGAAGUAUUCCAUAAAAAA